Molecule: ribosomal RNA, 96 nt
Filed under: uncultured bacterium
Lineage: Bacteria
Description: partial 16S ribosomal RNA
Rfam family: Bacterial small subunit ribosomal RNA
Source: RNAcentral
CGCCGCGUGAGUGAUGAAGCCCCUCGGGGUGUAAAGCUCUUUCGACGGGAACGAUAAUGACGGUACCCGGAGAAGAAGCUGCGGCUAACUACGUGC